Long non-coding RNA from Hemicordylus capensis (graceful crag lizard), 976 nucleotides. RefSeq lists it as uncharacterized. The transcript has 2 exons. The record is from RefSeq and is a predicted model, not a curated record. NCBI's taxonomy places the organism in Eukaryota, Metazoa, Chordata, Lepidosauria, Squamata, Cordylidae.
GCUCCUCCUCCUUCGCGCAGCACGUGACCCAGAAAGGCACAUGAUCAGCUCUGCUGCUGCUGCUGCCUUACACGUGCCGGUGCCGCCAAGCAAGCAAGGAAGAGGUCGCUGCCGUUCGUCGUUCGUGCCCUACCCGCCAAUCUAUCUCUAGCAAGCAAGCAAGCUAGGAGACUCACUGUGUUACUUACUUAACACUUACACGACAACCAGGAGCGGCAAGAGGCUCAGGAACCCUCAGAACAAAGCAAGAAAUGUGUCUCAUGUGGAAUUUAGAAACUGAAAAUAGAAAAACUAGACUAGAUAAUAAGGAGUUCAUUUUUGCAAGAUUGGUAUCAGAUAAGAAUCUACAGUCCCCAAAGCUGCUCAUUUUCCACUACAAUCACUCUAAAAACCAGAGGUAUCAUCAGCACAUGGGUGUCCAGUGGAAGCACACAGCAAAGACCAAGCUAAGACUUUUGCAUUAUUUUGAGUGGUACUGCAGCCCAAAGAGAAAUGCUUCCUCUGAGGGGGGAAAUUUUAAUGAAAGAAACCAAAGAAACCAAGCCGAUUAUGUUAUUGUUUUAACAAAACCAUCCCCAGCACAGCAUCCCUCCAGUGGCUGUUGAAGAGGUCUAUCUUAUGUUUCUUUUUUAGGUUGUGAGCCCUUUGGGGACAGGGAGCCAUCUUAUUUAAUCUAAUUUAUUUAUUUAUAUCUAUGUAACGUGCUUUGGGAACUUCUCUUGAAAAGCGGUAUAAAUAUUCGUCGUAUUUGUCCCUACUGAAAUAAAUUUUACCUUUCUGUUUAAAUUUUGUUGUUAUGCCCUAGCACACUGCCGAUUUACCAUGCUCCUGGCUUACUGAACUUCUGCAGCAUUCUCCACUGCCACAUACUUCUCUUGAAACUCUCAUGGAGCUUAAAAGAAACCAAGUGUCUUCUGUUCUUUGGACUUUUUUGCUGAUGUCUUAAUAAAUUACUUCCUGAAAAUCAUGCUGAAAA